RNAcentral lists this ribosomal RNA (249 nucleotides) under uncultured Agaricomycetes. RNAcentral's name for it is "partial small subunit ribosomal RNA". It matches the Rfam family "Eukaryotic small subunit ribosomal RNA", at positions 587 to 842 of the family's 1831-position model. Lineage: Eukaryota; Fungi; Basidiomycota; Agaricomycetes. The record is from RNAcentral.
AGCUCCAAUAGCGUAUAUUAAAGUUGUUGCAGUUAAAAAGCUCGUAGUUGAACUUCAGAUCUGGCUGGAUGGUCAGCUUUUCAGCUUGUACUGUCUGGCUGGAUCUUACUUCUUGGUGAGCCGGUGUGUCCUUUAUUGGGUGCGCUGGUGAACCAGGACCUUUACCUUGAGAAAAUUAGAGUGCUCAAAGCAGGCCUAUGCCCGAAUACAUUAGCAUGGAAUAAUAAAAUAGGACGUGCGGUUCUAUUU